Syzygium oleosum is the source of this 899-nucleotide long non-coding RNA. RefSeq lists it as uncharacterized. Lineage: Eukaryota; Viridiplantae; Streptophyta; Magnoliopsida; Myrtales; Myrtaceae. The record is from RefSeq and is a predicted model, not a curated record. The transcript has 2 exons.
CCUUACUUCAAGCAAUUCACAUGGCAAAUGUGGACCGAGUUAUGAGAAAAUUAAAACUCUAGUAAGGAAUCAACAGAGAUCGCAUGAAACAGAAAAACAUACAAUAAGCUAUGAGAACAUUAAUCAUGAAAAGAAAAAAAAGCGCGCUUCACACAAAUCACAAUACAAGACUUUGCAUAAACAGUGACAGGGUAUAAUCAACUAUCACAAGGAAACGAUUUGACUAAGAAGAAAUGCAAAUUUAAUGCCAAUGCCAAGCGAAUGAUCACUUGGGGUUGAGGCAACGUUUUGCAGAAAUGCAAAUCCAAACUCUGACAUGGGAAUAGACAUAUCGACUCCGCCAAUCGGCAAAACAAUUAGAAAGCAAUCACAACCACGGCACAGUCAGUGUACAAACCCCUUUGCUAAGUCAAACACCAUCUCAAGAAGUCCCAAGAUCCCCAAGUUGACACGAACACGAGCAAAGCAGCAAAGCCUGGAGGGCUUGGCAAUGGCAGCCGACUCGAUGCUAAUUCUAAAGGUACAGAAAGCCAGUAAACUAUGAGUAGGAAGGAGAUACAGUGCAGAUCGCACAUGAUCAACGACACGAAUGCAGCGAUCAACGGGAAAACGAAAAGAGAUACCGAAGCGAAUCAUGGAACAAGAUCUGAACAACAGAACAGAGACGGGGGCUUGGCAAAUCGCAAAGAGUUCAAUUCUGAAGCAGAUCUGGAUGCAUCAUCGCAGCGAGACAACAGAGCAAAGAUCGCAAUGGCAGUCGCGGGAUGAAGGCGAGAGCAGUAGAGCAGAGGAGAGACGUGCGGGGGGGGGAUCAUCAACGGAAACAGACAAGUACGCACCUCGGAGUCGAAGAUCUCGCGAUCAGCAGGAGAAAUUGCGGUCGCAGGAGGAUCGGAAAC